Molecule: long non-coding RNA, 1195 nt
Filed under: Malus domestica (apple)
Lineage: Eukaryota; Viridiplantae; Streptophyta; Magnoliopsida; Rosales; Rosaceae
Description: long non-coding RNA (MDOM_LNC000213)
Source: RNAcentral
UGAGUGAUGCUUAUGAAUGUUUUGUUAUGCAUGAAGGGAUCCAUGCUUUUGAUAUGUGAACCAUAUUGGUUGUAACACUUAGUAUCACAUACUUUGUGCCAAAGUACGCAUGUUGAAGCUCUGAGUUGGAGUAUAAGGGUAGGUUAACAUAGACCAAGUGUUCCAGUGCUAGGAACGCAAAAGACUCAGAAGAAGUUGUCUGAAUUCCCUCUUCUUUAACUAUUUUGCCGAAUGGCUUGUGUGACAAAAGAUCUCAAGCGGUUGAGAGUCAAAACAUUUGUAAUAUGUAUGCCUUCUUAUAAUAGCAUUUCCUUCAGUACCUAGUCCUCCACUUUGAAAGAGUGAGGCUUGGCCCCAUAGUCAUAAUAGUUUACGGUACGUUCACCCCUGGUCGUCUUGAUACGAACUUUUAUCCCUCUUAUUGUAAUGGGCUUGUUGAGAGUAAAAAACCUUCCUCUUACCAAGAGAUAGAUACGUUUGGUGACUUAGCGAGUAGCUAAAUGGGGUAGGAGAUGAUGCAAUGGGUGUCUGAAUGGCCAAUAUCUCCUCACUUGGUAGAACUCGACUUCCACUUCCCAUUUGUUGAUAGGGGUUAACCAUAUGGGGGUUCCCUUGGUAUGUCUUUGCUUCGGCGGAGGCGUGGUUGUAAGUCUGUGCCAUCACCUCCGAGUAAGUCUUCCAAGUGUUGGCAUUGAUCAUGUACAUGAAGAAACAAUCACGUAGGCUUGCUGUGAAGGCCUUAAGGGCGGUCUUGUCAUCUGCCUCAGCGCAGUGAGAAUACUCAUUGCUGAAGCGACCGGCAUACUCUCGUAGUGACUCGUCCGGCUUCUGGCGAAUAGUGUACAAGUUAUCUGCAGAAUGCAAGUGAUCGGUCUGGAAGAUGUGUUAAGAGACAAACAGUUUCCUCAAUUCCUCAAAUGAGUUUACUGUCUCAGGUGGAACAUGGAAAUACCAAUUUAGAGCUUCGCCAGAGAGGGUGGAGGGGAAGAGAAGACAUCGCUCUUCGUCGGUGUGCAUUUGAUAUGCCAUGGUGGACUCGAAGAGGAUAAGGUGUUCAAUUGGGUCCUCCCUUCCAAUAUAGAGUUGUAAACCAAGCUUUUGUUUUGUCUUCGCUUGAAGGGGGUGUCGAGGAUCCUUCUUGUGAGAGGGCCAGGCCUGGGUUGGUUCCAGUUAGGUAUCCCGACCUGACGUUCGG